Molecule: non-coding RNA, 379 nt
Organism: Meleagris gallopavo (turkey)
Lineage: Eukaryota; Metazoa; Chordata; Aves; Galliformes; Phasianidae
Source: RefSeq, a predicted model, not a curated record
CUCUCCUAGGUGCAUUUAAGGGCUGACUGUCACCGAGGAAGGAUCUCUGGAGAUUGCACUUCUUGGACCUUUUUCUGUGAGCCCAGAACACAGGUUGUACUUAGUGUCAGUAACUUAAGCUUUAUUAACACUGAAUCCCAAGUGCAGCGGAAGUCAAGGCUGUGAGGUUAGGAUAACUGGCUAACCAUUAUCUCUGAGGAUCAGCAAGACACUACUGGGUUUCCUGCGUGGAAACUCUACAGAAAAACUAACAUGGAUUUGGGCCUGAUGAAAGAAGAAAAAGACCAGAUUACUAGAACAGUACUAAAGAGAAAUGGAAUAGUAGUAAAUAAUUUCCAGAGUGCAUUAUUUGAAAAUUGCUGGCCCAGAAUUGGAUAAA